AUGAUGCAGCUCUGCUUAGUUUGGAUGAUCAUCUUCAUGGUUCACACUGGAUCCUCUGAGGAUUUAGUGAAACCAUUUAAAGAUGUAAUGCUGGCUUUGGAAGGAGACUCUGUGACUCUCUCCUGCAACUAUUCAGGCUCUGUAAACUACCUCUACUGGUAUCAACAGAAGUCCAGUUCAUCUCCACAGUUUCUCAUCAAAGAAUAUUUAGAGAAACCAGGUUUUUCUUUUGCACAUAACAAAACAGCAAAGGAGUUUCAUCUGCAGAUCUCCUCUGCUGCAAAUGCUGGCUUUGGAAGGAGACUCUGUGACUCUCUCCUGCAACUAUUCAGGCUCUGUACAAAACCUCUGCUGGUAUCAACAGAAGUCCAGUUCAUCUCCACGUUUCUCAUCAAAGAAUAUUUAGAGAAACCAGGUUUUUCUUUUGCACAUGAGAAAACAGCAAAGGAGUUUCAUCUGCAGAUCUCCUCUGCUGCAGUGACAGACUCUGCUGUGUACUACUGUGCUCUGCAGCCCACAGUGACAGGAAACACCAAAACUCUGUACAAAAACCUUUGGAGCAAAGAACACUUGUAG
Micropterus dolomieu (smallmouth bass) is the source of this 576-nucleotide non-coding RNA. The record is from the annotation of a RefSeq genome assembly. NCBI's taxonomy places the organism in Eukaryota, Metazoa, Chordata, Actinopteri, Centrarchiformes, Centrarchidae.